GCACAGCUACGGAAAGCCACAGGGGUCAAAAGGCGGUUCUUCGCGAAACAGAGGGCGCAUGAAGAGGAGAGAAGGGAGGGAGCAGAAUGGUCUUUUGAAAACUGCUUCACUGCACUAAUGUUCCUGAAACCUGAGCUCUUAUUGGAUCUGAAGGGCAUUAUAAGACAAGGCAUCCUCCACCCUCUACCCCUGUUUAAAGGUGAGGAUUAAAGGGAUUGCUUUCAUUCAGGGAAGGAGAGGCGAAAAAGCCUUCCAGCAGAGCCCACUCCGGCUCAGCUCUUCUCCCCGUGUGCCUGUCCCCUUGUCUCUGCUUGCCAGGCCAGUUGACCAACCCUCACAAACUAGCCACCGGCCCGCCUGGACAGCUCUCUCGCACCCAGGCUUGUUACUGUGAGGUAGUCAGACGCAGCUAGCUGCCUCGUGGCCUCUGACAUUUGCGUGGAGGACAAAAAAAAAAAAAAAAAAAGGAGGAUGUGCUCAACUUUCCUCUCCUACACCUGCGAUCACGCUCUGGGGUCUCGAGAAACCCCCCCACCCUGGAAUCAGUGCAGGCCUCAUGUUAUAUGCAGGGAACACAGCAACCUCUUCUGGCCAAAAGUGAAUGCAGCAGAGAGUGUGUGCUGAAGCCAGCAUAUAACAAGUCCCGGCAACAGCAGGGCUUCUCCUGACCCAUGGAGGGCCGCACCAGUGCCAUGGCAGGAGUGUGAUGGGGAGUGUCCAUUGAUGGAUGUUGGGCAGGUAUUCUUCAUCGCCAGGGCUCCAACACCCUCUUCCUGACCAGGAGGGAAAUAUAGCGUACCAGAAAGGUGCCAAGGGGGUAUACGCCAAGCUUUGGUGGGUGCAUGCAGAUCCUGGUCCUGGUUUAAAAUUUAAGGGAAAAAACACACAGAGUAAAGGUUGCAGCCCAGCAACAUCAGGAGCUCCUGUACAACAGAGAGACUAGACUUAGGCAGUUGCUCCCUUCUUUCAGCUCAAAAUUACUGUUGCUCAGUGGGUGACGUCCACUAUGAGGUGGUGCGGUCGGACAGGGAAGGAGCCACAGAGAGAUUUCACCUCACCCUCCUCAAAGACAAAGUAGGCUGCAUAUGCUGCUGCCUACUUGAUGCCGAUGUCAACUGUCUUCGUUAUUACCUCCUGGGACAGUCAAUAACCGCAUACUCAGACCCCGUUGUAGGGGAUCCACCGCAUUACGUAUGGUUGCCAACCCCCGGAUCACCCUGUGGUAUCUGGCUUUGCAGCCCUUUAAGUUGAAGGUAAUCCAUAGGCCAGGGGCACAGAUUGCUGUGGUCAAUUUUCACUCGCAAGGUGGGGGGUGAGUAGGUUUAGCCGGAUGGGUCCCCAGCAUCAGUAGAGGUGGAGGUGUGCGGCAGGGGUGUAAUCUGCGGCUCUGCUGCAGGGAAGGGGUGGUGCAGUGGGUUGGAGGGCCAGGGAGGCUGGCAGGGCAGCUGAAAGCAAUUCAAUAAUUACACUCUCCCUAUUUUAGUGACACCAAGACCUGGAGGAAAAAAGAACAGGUGGAUGUCGGGACGAGGGGGGCAAAUAAUUGUAAAUA
Oreochromis aureus is the source of this 1552-nucleotide long non-coding RNA. RefSeq lists it as uncharacterized. NCBI's taxonomy places the organism in Eukaryota, Metazoa, Chordata, Actinopteri, Cichliformes, Cichlidae. The record is from RefSeq and is a predicted model, not a curated record. The transcript has 5 exons.